Lycium barbarum (goji berry) is the source of this 1318-nucleotide long non-coding RNA. RefSeq lists it as uncharacterized. Lineage: Eukaryota; Viridiplantae; Streptophyta; Magnoliopsida; Solanales; Solanaceae. The record is from RefSeq and is a predicted model, not a curated record. The transcript has 2 exons.
GUAGAUUUUGGCGAACUUGAAACCUGAUUUUGGAGACGUGUAUGAAGCGGAAAAGGUCAGCAGACAGGUGGACGUGAUCCUUAGAAGCUCUACCAGCCGUACUUGACAGCGCUCCAGUUGUUCCGGAGCCUCACUCCAGCGGUACUAUUUUAUGCAUAUACAUUCGGGCUUGGUAGCACCCCGGCCCUUUCUAUGUAUAAGUGUACUAUGUCUAGAGGCUCGUAGACAGAUACGUACAGUCAGUCAGGUACAGAUAUAUGUAUAGUGUUUUGGCAUGUUAAUAUUGUUGUACAAGGUAAUAACGGAGUUUAUUAGUUUAUGUUCAAGGAAAAAAAUGGCUCGGUUUACACGGCUUGCUAAGAGGUACAGGUAAUACGAUAGAUAAGGGGUGCUCGGUACAAGUAUCGGGUACUCGUCACGGCCCCUAGUCGGGUCGUGACAAUAUAUCUCAUUCCAUGGGUUCAUGCAUGCUAGUUUAUGAUAUAUUAUACUAUUUUCAAGAAAAUACUAUACAUGUUUUACAAGUUAAUGCAAGCAAGCUAUAAUUUAUGAUAUCCAUGUACAAGCAAGUUAUAUUCAUGAAAACCAUGGGCAGCAAGUGCCACUUAUUUUACAUGUUCAUGAUUUUGGGAGUUGCUUUAAUUACCGAGGAAAGCUUCAGAUAGCCUGAAACUACGUAGCCACCGUAGGAUGAGGAUCGCUCUACCCAUGUCCCGGACGAUCUCUCAUAAUGACUGGAUCCUUUCAUAUUUUAUUAAAUCUCAUGUUUCCUGGCAAGGACUGAGUGUUCUGCUGGCGGGACGCAAGCACCAGACCAUGGAUCGGUUAUAAGUUAUUGCUCUCCCUACUUAUGAUAUUUUUACCAUGUUUUAUAUAUAUGUAUGUAUUCAUGUUCAUGACCAGGUUUCAGUUCCUAUCAUUAUUAUUUCAUAUCCCAUUUUAUUUCAUUCAGUUGCUUUACAUACCAGUACAUUCUAAGUGUUGACGUCCCCUUUCUAUUGCCCGGGGGCCCUGCAUUUCACGAUGCAGGUACUGAUAUACAGGACGACACAUCUGCUCAGUAGGACAGCAUUCGUAUCAGCUUAUUGGUGUGCCCCAUCCAUUCGGGGUUUAGUCAACUUUUGUUUUAUGAUUAGUUAUGCAUCUAAGGUAUGCUGGGGGCCUUGUCCCAGUAAGUAUGUUUUCCAGUCAGACUCAUGAUAGAGGUUUCAUAGACUAGACAAGUCAGUUAUGUUAUGUCAGACAUUCGGGGUAGUAUAGCCAUUUUGGCUCAUUCAUGUUAUUUUCGCACUCAUGUUUAAACAAGUAUUUUUAUUAA